UGGAGAUCACGUAGUGAUCUUAAACUUGACUAAAGGAUUGGGGGUUAGUUAUGGUAAGUAUACUCUAUAUAAAUCGAGAACAAAAAGAUCUAGAGGUUUUGCUCUAGUUCUACUUGAAAAUUUAAAAUUUGGAUUUUCUUAGUCUCGAUGCAAAGUGAUACUUUGGUCAGAAAUCAUUUUGUGACUUUAAAGAAUUUGAUGAGUUAGAUC
This 210-nucleotide long non-coding RNA is filed under the name Phoenix dactylifera (date palm). RNAcentral describes it as "long non-coding RNA (PDAC_LNC013169)". Lineage: Eukaryota; Viridiplantae; Streptophyta; Magnoliopsida; Arecales; Arecaceae. The record is from RNAcentral.